This 584-nucleotide long non-coding RNA is filed under the name Medicago truncatula (barrel medic). RNAcentral's name for it is "long non-coding RNA (MTRU_LNC002238)". Lineage: Eukaryota; Viridiplantae; Streptophyta; Magnoliopsida; Fabales; Fabaceae. The record is from RNAcentral.
ACUCAUAUGGGUAGUUAAUGGUUGUUGAUUUUCGUUGUUUUUCUAAAUUCUUUUGAUGACUUUUUCGCUGAUUUCGUGUUCUUUUAUGUUACUAUAGUUAUAUGUUUGAUUUUCGUUAAUGGAACUGUGAUGUUUAUAUGUGAAUUUUUAUACAUCAUGCUCGUACGUUAAUAUAGUUGUUUUGAUAGUAUUAUAUACGAUCGGUAAAAGCUUUAAAUGUUAUCGUUUCAUGUUUCUGAUCUUGAUAUAUGAGAUGCAUGAUAUUUGUGAAAGCAUGUUUCUGUUUUCUAUUUUUUUUCUUUUAUAUGUCAAUCUGCCAAAAUCGGUUUACACAUUUAAUAUUGAUUUAUGAAAUAUGUUAUGAGAGAGUUUUAAAGAUCCUUAAAACAUGUUAAUUAUUCUCGCUUUCGGUGACAUUACUUUGUGCAUUAUGGUUUCAUAUGAUUUUAUUAUAUUUAGAAUAGUGAUAAAGACCUUUAAAACAUAUAACUGGUUUUACUUUGAAAAUGUUUCUAACGGUGAUAUCAUAACUUGGAUUUAGAAAAUGGAUGCUCUUAAUCAUAUGUUAUUUGACAAGCUUUUAG